CCCUUCGGGGGGUGUGGUUGGGGGGAGCGUGGGACCCGAUCCGGUAGUAGGCAAGCGAUGGGGUGACGCAGGAGGGUAGUCCCGCCAGGCGUUGGUUGUCCUGGUGUAAGCCGGUAGCCCGACAUCCAGGUAAAUCCGGGUGUCUGAGUUUGAUCUCGGGGGUGAGAGGUGAUGCAUAGCCGAUUGAGGCGAAGUAGGGUGAUCCCAUGCUGCCGAGAAAAGCCUCUAGCGAGUGCUGUUGCGGCCCGUACCCUAAACCGACACAGGUGGUCAGGUAGAGAAUACCGAGGCGAUCGAGUGAACUGUGGUUAAGGAACUCGGCAAAAUACCUCCGUAACUUCGGGAGAAGGAGGACCGUCUGGCUUGAAGCCCCGUUGCGGGCUAGGGCUGGGUGGUCGCAGAGACCAGGCCCAAGCGACUGUUUACUAAAAACACAGGUCCGUGCGAAGUCGCAAGACGAUGUAUACGGACUGACGCCUGCCCGGUGCUGGAACGUUAAGAGGACCUGUUAGUCCCUUCGGGGGCGAAGCGGAGAAUUUAAGCGCCAGUAAACGGCGGUGGUAACUAUAACCAUCCUAAGGUAGCGAAAUUCCUUGUCGGGUAAGUUCCGACCUGCACGAAUGGCGUAACGACUUGGGCGCUGUCUCGACCACAGACUCGGCGAAAUUGCACUACGAGUAAAGAUGCUCGUUACGCGCGGCAGGACGGAAAGACCCCGGGACCUUUACUAUAGCUUGGUAUUGGUGCUCGGUUCGGCUUGUGUAGGAUAGGUGGGAGACUGUGAAGUGGCCACGCCAGUGGUUGUGGAGUCGUUGUUGAAAUACCACUCUGGUCGAAUUGGGUGUCUCAACCUCGGGCCAUGAUCUGGUUCAGGGACAGUGCCUGGUGGGUAGUUUAACUGGGGCGGUUGCCUCCCAAAAUGUAACGGAGGCGCCCAAAGGUUCCCUCAGCCUGGUUGGCAAUCAGGUGUUGAGUGUAAGUGCACAAGGGAGCUUGACUGUGAGACUGACAGGUCGAGCAGGGACGAAAGUCGGGACUAGUGAUCCGGCACCUCCUGGUGGAAGGGGUGUCGCUCAACGGAUAAAAGGUACCCCGGGGAUAACAGGCUGAUCUUGCCCAAGAGUCCAUAUCGACGGCAUGGUUUGGCACCUCGAUGUCGGCUCGUCGCAUCCUGGGGCUGGAGUAGGUCCCAAGGGUUGGGCUGUUCGCCCAUUAAAGCGGUACGCGAGCUGGGUUUAGAACGUCGUGAGACAGUUCGGUCCCUAUCCGCCGCGCGCGUAGGAGACUUGAGGAAGGCUGUCCCUAGUACGAGAGGACCGGGAUGGACGAACCUCUGGUGUGCCAGUUGUCCCGCCAGGGGCACGGCUGGUUGGCUAUGUUCGGAAGGGAUAACCGCUGAAGGCAUCUAAGCGGGAAGCUCGUUCCAAGAUGAGGUCUCCCACCACCUUGCGUGGUUAAGGCCCCCCACAGACCAUGGGGUUGAUAGGCCAGAGAUGGAAGCCUGUGAGGGGUGGAGUUGACUGGUACUAAUAGGCCGAGGGCUUGACCG
Molecule: ribosomal RNA, 1549 nt
Filed under: Pseudonocardia chloroethenivorans JCM 12679
Lineage: Bacteria; Bacillati; Actinomycetota; Actinomycetes; Pseudonocardiales; Pseudonocardiaceae
Description: bacterial LSU rRNA
Rfam family: Bacterial large subunit ribosomal RNA
Source: RNAcentral